AUGAAGUUGGGAAGAUUGCAAGAAAUGUCAAAGCAAAAAUAGAAGCAACUAAUAAAGAGAACUUGGCUAAUCUACAAAAGCCUGGAUGCGGAAAGGGUACAAGUGUUGACAGAUCAAGGACAAAUAUGACCAAUUCCUUGACAAAGAAGUUCAGAGAUGUUAUGACAGAAUUUCAGACAUUAAGGCAGAGGAUAGACAAUGAAUAUCGCGAGGUUGUAGAGCGAAGGGUGAUCACAGUAACUGGAACCAGACCAGAUGAGGAGACAAUCAACAACCUGAUCGAAACUGGAAACAGUGAACAAAUCUUCCAGAACGCUAUCCAAGGAAUGGGACGAGGACAGGUCUUAAGCACCGUAGAGGAAAUUCAGGAAAGACACGAUGCAGUGAAGGAAAUUGAGAGAAAACUUCUUGAUCUGCAUCAGAUAUAUCUUGAUAUGGCUGUUCUGGUUGAAGCUCAAGGAGACUUGUUAGAUAAUAUCGAAACACAGGUGAGAUAUGCAGUGGAUCAUGUUAAUAUGGGUACAGAUGCACUUCAAACUGCAAAGAGCUUGCAGAAAAAAUCAAGAAAAUGUAUGAUGAUCGCCAUUAUUUUGCUUCUGAUUAUCGCCGCGAUUAUCGUUCUAUCUG
RNAcentral lists this unclassified non-coding RNA (627 nucleotides) under Hevea brasiliensis (rubber tree). The record is from RNAcentral. Lineage: Eukaryota; Viridiplantae; Streptophyta; Magnoliopsida; Malpighiales; Euphorbiaceae.